AAAACGACUCUCGGCAACGGAUAUCUCGGCUCUCGCAUCGAUGAAGAACGUAGCAAACUGCGAUACUUGGUGUGAAUUGCAGAAUCCCGUGAACCAUCGAGUUUUUGAACGCAAGUUGCGCCCGAAGCCGUUAGGCCGAGGGCACGUCUGCCUGGGCGUCACGC
This 164-nucleotide ribosomal RNA is filed under the name Strychnos tricalysioides. RNAcentral's name for it is "5.8S ribosomal RNA". It matches the Rfam family "5.8S ribosomal RNA". Rfam says of the family: 5.8S ribosomal RNA (5.8S rRNA) is a component of the large subunit of the eukaryotic ribosome. It is transcribed by RNA polymerase I as part of the 45S precursor that also contains 18S and 28S rRNA. Lineage: Eukaryota; Viridiplantae; Streptophyta; Magnoliopsida; Gentianales; Loganiaceae. The record is from RNAcentral.